This is a long non-coding RNA of Mesocricetus auratus (golden hamster), 948 nucleotides long. RefSeq lists it as uncharacterized. The record is from RefSeq and is a predicted model, not a curated record. Lineage: Eukaryota; Metazoa; Chordata; Mammalia; Rodentia; Cricetidae. The transcript has 3 exons.
UUAGAGUCAGUCUCUGCCAGCUGUGUGGCGCCUGUUUGUAUCAGGCGUCCCUGACUUCUCAGAGAGAUUGUCCACACCACGUGACACCCUGAGGAAGCGCCUACCAGGGAAUUUAGUUCACUGUUAACUACCUCUACGGGCGGGCCGGUACCAUUCUCUGUGGAAGAACCUUCCCUCCCCUGGCGCCGGUCAUCCUCACUUGAUAGGGUCUCACAAUGUAGAUAGGCUGGCCUCAAACUCAGCAAUCCUCUCAAGGGCUGGAAUCAAGCCUGUCUGAGCAAACCACAGUCUUGCAAAUACUCUCUGACUGCCUCAUUUCAACAACAGAGCUAUGUUUGGGGGAAAUUUCCUGAAAUUGAAUGGCUUCACCAGUUACCAGGGCCUGGCAGGCUCCUGUGGAGGAUGAAGGGUACGCCCCUCACCAGUCAGGGCUCUCUCUGCCCUCAACUUUGCACUCCAGACCCGCAUCAUCAUCAUUUCCGCUCGCCACCCUCUGUCUCAUCCUUACACUGAAGAUGCUCCCCCACCGUAGCAAUGCGGGGGGGGGGGGCUGGGGCUCCCCUCUUGGGUUUCUUAGUCUCAUUAGUAAGAGAAUUUAAGAGUGAACUCAAGUGGGAUCUGUAGGACAAUUUAUUAACAUUUAAAAGAAGAAAAGCCUCUGGGGAGGGUACAUUGUAAACCUCAGCUGAUGACCUGAGGGUUAGAAGAGGAAAAAAAGAGUGGUGCCAUCUGAGUCUGCACGGAGGCCAGACACACGACAGACAAGCGGCCACAUGGUGGAGAGAGAGGAAUCACCCCAGAGGAUCCACAAACGCGCAUCCCAAAGAUAAAGGCAGAGAAUAAAGACCCAGUUGAAACUCUUGGCAAACUCAUGGGUCUGUGUGUGGGAGGUGAAAUUCUGGGAAGAAAAAGCACAGUAUCUCAUUAAAGGGAACGUUAUUCCUCUUA